UACAGAGGGGGCUAGCGUUGUUCGGAAUUACUGGGCGUAAAGGGCGCGUAGGCGGCCUGUUAAGUCGAACGUGAAAUCCCCGGGCUCAACCCGGGAACUGCGUCCGAUACUGGCAGGCUUGAAUCCGGGAGAGGGAUGUGGAAUUCCAGGUGUAGCGGUGAAAUGCGUAGAUAUCGGGAGGAACACCGGUGGCGAAGGCGGCGACCUGGACCGGUACUGACGCUGAGACGCGAAAGCGAGGGGAGCGAACAGG
This 253-nucleotide ribosomal RNA is filed under the name uncultured bacterium. Its description in RNAcentral is "partial 16S ribosomal RNA". It matches the Rfam family "Bacterial small subunit ribosomal RNA", at positions 524 to 776 of the family's 1533-position model. The record is from RNAcentral.